This 403-nucleotide ribosomal RNA is filed under the name uncultured bacterium. RNAcentral's name for it is "bacterial SSU rRNA". It matches the Rfam family "Bacterial small subunit ribosomal RNA", at positions 362 to 758 of the family's 1533-position model. The record is from RNAcentral.
UUUUGGACAAUGGGCGCAAGCCUGAUCCAGCCAUUCCGCGUGAGUGAAGAAGGCCUUCGGGUUGUAAAGCUCUUUCGCAAGGGAAGAAAGAUUACUCUCUAAUAUAGAGUGAUUAUGACGGUACCUUGAUAAGAAGCACCGGCUAACUACGUGCCAGCAGCCGCGGUAAUACGUAGGGUGCGAGCGUUAAUCGGAAUUACUGGGCGUAAAGCGUGCGCAGGCGGUUUUGUAAGUCAGAUGUGAAAUCCCCGAGCUCAACUUGGGAACUGCGUUUGAAACUACAAGACUAGAAUAGGUCAGAGGGGGGUAGAAUUCCACGUGUAGCAGUGAAAUGCGUAGAGAUGUGGAGGAAUAUCAAUGGCGAAGGCAGCCCCCUGGGAUCAUUCGACGCUCAUGCACGAAG